This is a long non-coding RNA of Tympanuchus pallidicinctus (lesser prairie-chicken), 4919 nucleotides long. RefSeq lists it as uncharacterized. Lineage: Eukaryota; Metazoa; Chordata; Aves; Galliformes; Phasianidae. The record is from RefSeq and is a predicted model, not a curated record. The transcript is spliced from 3 exons.
AGCUCCCUCCUUGGUGAAGCUUCCCCUGCAAACCUGGAAUCUUCUGAUACGUCUGUCUUCAGGACUGGUUUCCAAGCAGACAACACAUCUGCCAACCCAGCCAUCUCCCAGCACAGACCUCGGCCAUUCAUCUGUGAACACGUGUUUCAUCCAGAUCCACAGCUGCAUGUAUUCCACAGCUUGUAGAUACAGCCUGGAAAGAGAGCGACUGCUUGUUCUUGAGAGAGCUGCAGCAAGAGUACGUGAGCAUCAAAAGAAUCACGAAUCAGCUAAUCAGGAGUUCCGAUUGUCUGGGUAUCAAAUCAGUUGUAUUUAGUGGAAUAAAGUAGGUAGUCACCACUGGAGCCUGAUUACCUUUUUAAAGAGUGCUGCCUGAUUAGGUUAAACUUUGUGCCAUUUAUGGCUGAUUUUGGAUAAAUGGGAAAAGUCAGAGAUGGGAUCAGACAUGUAAGCUGGUCCAGAUUUUGAGAGUGAAAAAUUCAGACUUGAAGCCAAACCAAGAUCCAUGUUCUGCUCCCAGAUCCUCCAAGCUGGAGCUCUUUGGUGUUCUUGUGUAGGAAAUUAUUUGCUACCAUGCUUCAUGUAGAGCCAUGGAACUAACUUAACUCUUUAGGCCUCGUGAAGGCAUGUGUCCUCAGUACUGAGCUUUAACCAAAUAAAAGGUGCUGAAAUACUGAGUGGUUUGGAUGCACACAGAUGUGCAUAAGAAGGUAUUUCAUCAGUUCCAUGGCUUUCAAUCCAGCAUCUUUGCAGGUCACCACAUGUAUUCUGUUUAAGCCUUUUGAUUAAUUACGCCGUACCCAAACCAUACAUAUUUAUAGCUUGCAGAACGAGAUAAAUUCUCCAGAUGUGGCUUCCUUUUAGUUAAGUGGAGAUGAAUGGAGAUCAAAGCCUUUGAUGUGCAGCCUGCCUCCAACUCACUGCUGACACCGGCCGCUGGAAAUCAUGCACUGAAGGGAGCUGGGCACUCCAAACUUGGGUAUGAGGCAGCUAAAGCAAAACCUAUGGGGAAAACGGUUUGUGGAGGAUAAAUCUAUGUGCGCCAUUGGGUCCCUACUUGUGAAAGUGGAAGGCAGUAUUCAAUGAACCCUUUACUCUUAAACAACGCAUUUAAGUAGAUCAAUUUUAUGUUCCAGCCCAGAAAUGAUUUAAGGCUUUUCAGUGCAUGGAUAUCCUCUGUGAUACACAGAACUGGCAGAAAAUGUCAUCGUGAGCUGCUUUAUAGCCUCAAUUAAGGCUAUUUCCAUUGCUCCAGAUGCGUAAAGCAGACUUAUAGCUGAGUUCCUGCUAUAGAGAAAUCCCUGGUGUGUCCUCGGAUCAGAGCUGCCAGCUCAAUGAUGUCUUCUUCACAACCCUUGGAAAAAAUGAUGGAUAGCCAGGGAGCUGCAAAUUCAGAUUGAGCUCUCACACUACGAUCACUUACAGGAGUCUCAGCCGGUUGGAGCCAUAGCACAGUGCUUACCCAGUGGCCAAGUGGCUGCUCUGCCCGUCUCUGCCACUUUGGAAGCUGCCUGCAUGAUGUGCCAAGGGAGCUCUGGCUGCUGUGCUUUGCAUCUUGAACUGCUCUGUACAAUGAAGCUGAUACUACAAAAAAAAAUCCAACCCAAACUCGAAGGCACCAUGGAAGCAUUGGCCUGAAGUGACCCCCAGCAAUCUGGGCCAGAACCUGAAGAUGUGGAUUGAGGGCUUUCUCUGAGACUUAUGGGCAAUUUUUGGAUGUAAAAGAUGAGCAGAAGUGUUGAAGGUGGAGCUCUUGAGCACCUCAUGUAGUGAGAAGAAAGGAGAUGAAAAUCUGAAAGUGGAAGACUGGUGAUGCUGCCAAAGGACCUCUAGUGUUCAUGGUCCAUAGAAGGAAAGGGAAGCUGGUCUUAACAACAGGGAGUUCCAUGAGCUUGGGGAACUGAUGGCUUCCAUGGGAGGGAAGAGGCCAAAAUGCCAAUUACUCCAGUGCAUAGAAAAUACAGGAGAUGCAGCUGGUCUCCUGAAUCAAAUUCCUUAUUGGCAUCAGAGGAAAUAACCGUGAAAACUGGUUGGUCUGUAAGAUUACUGCAGAUGAUCGUAAAGAAAUAGCUCAAAUCUGUAAAGGAAAAACAUAAAUGAAGAAAAUCCAAUGUAGCUAGUAAUAGACUUUAGGGGUAACAAGAAAUGGUUCUUGAACCCACUGAUAAGAGGAGGGAGAGCAAAUUAAAGAUUUGUCUGUUACUUCAGCGAGAGAAAGAGCUCCUAAUCAAUGAAAAUAAGGAGUUUAUGUUCCUUCUGUCCAGUCUUCAAUAAGAAACAAAUGGUGUAUAAGCAUGUGCCACAAUUAAUAUUAACACAUGAAAAAAUCAGUCUAGAUGAGGGAAGAACAGACUAAAGAGCUCUUAGAUAAGUCAGAGGUUUUUAAAUUGGCUGGGGCUGCCUUAAUCCUACAGUACUGAAGAACUGGCUUUGGUAAUCUCAGAACUGUUAAUGGUAUCUCUGAAUUCAUGGGAGGACUGGGGUGAUAGCAGAAAACUGAUGUAUUGCUUAUCUCUGAAAGGUGGGAGAGGUGAGGGAAGAAGGAGCAGGAGAGUAAUGCAACAGUCAGCUUACCCAGAACAUCCAGAAAACUGCUGCAACAAAUAAUCACCACCCUGGAAAAUAAGAUGAGCAGCAGCCAGUACAGGUUUGCUGAGAACAGAUCGUGUCAAAGCACUCUAAUUUCAGUUUAAAGACUAACAGACCGUGUGGCUAGAAGGAAAGCAGUAGAUGUCAAAUAUAUUGACUUCUGUCAGGCAUUUGACAGUGCAGAUAUUUUUUGUCCUCUUGCAGCACUUUCAUUUCCUUUAUAUUUUUUAGGAAGAUAAUUUAGAGGAAAAUUAAAACUGGGCAUCACCCAAUUUAAAGCAUCCUUUUAAGCCUAAUGCUCCAAUGUAAUGUCCGAAGUUCAUGGUGAGCCUCAGAGCUUGUAAAGGCUGCCAUGGUAAGCUCUUCCAUGCCUCUCAAGAGCUAAGCUGGGGGCUCAGAUCACCUGUUAAGUGACAAAGUGUUGUGUCUUUGCAGUCAGUGAGUACAGGGAAGGGAGCAAGCCAUAAAGCAUCCUCUACUGCAGACCCACCUGGAGCAGUGUUUGACCCUCCAGACAGUAGCUAAAAGUCAAAGGCACUGCCUGGUAGUGAUGGAUGUUAUUCAUUGCCAGGAACUCUGAGGCUUCUGCAAUGCCACAGGUGCACAGCCUACCCCAAGAGAGGUGCUCCAGUUUUGCAGCGAUGCUAAGGUUGCCAUUUCCCAUCAGCCUGUACCCUCUGCAAGGUGCCUUUACUUCUACCAUCCAAGAAAUGCCUACAACCAAAGCUGUACCCCCAGAGGUGGCUGCUUCUCACUGUCAUAGCAGUGGGCAGCACCAAGCAGCACAUCUGUCCAGGGCAGCCCUGCUCCUUCCUCACCUGGGCAGUGCUGUGCUGCAGGCAGCUGCUCGUGGCCUGGCCCUUCCUGUGGCAGGCAGCAGAACAAAUCAGACACUUUGCAUUUCAUCAACCUUCCUGGAGAGCGCUGCACAAUUGUUCCCACAGCAGGAUGCUGAGCAAGCCGGCCUCAGUGAGCACCACCUUCCUCUGCAUCGCUUCAUCUGUCUGGAAGAAAGGAAUCAAGGGAAGGAAAUGAAGACGUUACAUCUGUAAUCAUAUUUCACAGCUGCACAGCAAUUUUCCUCCCGGUGCAUUCAGCAGCUGGGAUGCUGUGACCUCUGCCAUAGCAGGCAGCAGCCAGCCCAUGGCUUACUGUGCAGCUUAUGGAGGAGUGCUUUGCUUAGAGCAAAAGACAUCCUUUUUGUUUUCAGGUGUUCUCGCAAUAUUCCCUGGCAGAGGUCACCUUGCAGUGCUGGAGGGUCAGGCAGUUGCUUCCCUUGUAAGGUGAAGGGCAGCUGUGCUACUGCCUGUCCCCUCCCUGGCACAUGUUGGCUGGCUGGGGCCUGGCAGUGGUUCCAGCAUGUGAAGCGCCAGGAAAAUGCAGCAUAGUUGAAUCCCUGUGUAGUGUGAGAGAAGCUAAGUUAUGGAACAGGGCUGAGGAAAACUGAGAGAUGUCCUCUGCAUGUGAAAACAUUCAGGAAAUCAUCCUUUGCUAUUUACAUCUGUAGUUGCUGGGUGUCAUUUGCAAGGCACGUUCUGCGUUCACCAUGCCCAGGUCAGCCUUGUGUUUGAAUGCUGUCCACAGGAGUGUCAGCCCAGCAGGACUUAUGCCUGCACAAACAGAACAGCAAGGCCUGAACAUCCCUUCCCAUGCCAUGUGCUGGGACAAACAGCCCGUGGAGAGCAGCAGGGCGUUCCCAGAAGGGCUGAGGAUGUGGCCAAACAGUCCUGGCAGCAGGUGCCAGGGUGGAAGUGGCUGUGGUUCCAGAUAAGAUGUCAGGUGCAGUGUGGGACUGCUGGGGAGCACUCAGGGCAGUGCUGCUGGGGCUUCUGCAACGUCCACACACCUUUAAAAAUCCAUUUCUAAAUACUUAAUAUGAAUUGCAAACGAUGUAGUUGACACUAAUAUCUAUUUCUCUUGUCUGUAAAGUGUGGUACUCCAAGCUGAAUGCCUGUUUUGCACCCUGUGAGUGGGGCUGCUGCUGUGCUGUAGCACAUUCUUGCACAGUUCAUUGCUGGAGCAUGUGGUUUCAGCACGUCCUAAUGCAAUAGGUGCAGAUUGUUCCUUGUUUUGUGUACAUAUGUGUGGAACUGAGAAUGAUAAUUAAAUUGAUCCUUUCUUUCUCACUGAAAGCUGACAGUUGACCCUCGUGUAUAGAUUCAUUACUGCAUAUACUGUUUCUGUGCUGAGGCACUUUUUUUUUUCCACCAGUCUGAGGGCAGCUCUGCCCAAUGCUUUCAGCUCUCAUUGCCUUCUCUUGAAAACAGAAACAGUCAUAUGAAAAUUUGAAAGUACUGAAAAACUUGAGAUGCUAAAUGGGAGCUCUCUAA